Molecule: long non-coding RNA, 1353 nt
Filed under: Homo sapiens (human)
Lineage: Eukaryota; Metazoa; Chordata; Mammalia; Primates; Hominidae
Description: HSALNT0075608
Source: RNAcentral
CUUCAAUCUACAUAGCAUCAUAAAAGCCAAAUAUGUUUAUAUUAGUUUCAGUUUUCUUGUUUGUAUUUUUCUGUGUUCUAAAUUUUUUGCAAUGAAAAUGUGUUACUUUAUAAUCAGAAAAAAAUACUAUUUUUAAAGAAUGUAGUGGAUGAGAUCAUUUGCAAAUGUUUACCUGAGGAAAUUUUGAGGACAUCAAGAUCAAUCAAGGUGAUUGGGAGUUAAUACCAGACAGAAAUAUACUGUCCUUGGAAAUAUGACACUUCUUUCAGGGACUGAAUUAUGUCCUUCCCCACACAUUCAUAUGUUGAAGCCUUAACUUCCAAUGUGAUGUAUUUAGAUAUGAGGAUUUGGGAAGGCAAUUAGAUUUGGAUGAGGUCAUGAGGGUAGGGCCCUCAUGCUGUGAUUAGAGUACCCUUAUAAGAAGAGACACCAGAGAGCUUGCUUGCUCUCUCUCGGCAUCAAGUGAUGACACAUGAGUGAGAGGGUGAGAAUGUGGCCAUUGGCAAGCCAGGGAGAGAGACUUCACCAGAGCCCAACAAUGCUGGCAUCCUGAUCUCGAACUUCCAACCUUUAAUAGAAGUAAGUUUCUGUUGUGUAAGCCACCCAGUGUAUGGUAUUUUGUUAUAGCAGCCCAAGCUGACUAAGAUAGACUAAGUGGACUAAGAUCCGAACUGUCGUGUGGCAAGUAGUUUUCUGAUAUUGAGAGAGGAUCCUCUUCCUCUCAGAUUUAGUCAGUAAAUGUUUAUUAAAUGUCUACUGUGUUCCAUGCCCUGUGAAAAAUGCUGAGGAUUCAAGGAUAAUUAAGACAAGGUUCCUACCCAUAGGGAGCUGAUUUAAUAAGAGACAAACAUGUAAAUAAAGUGAAAAAAAGUGUUACAUGUGCUCUGACAUAAGUAUGUAUAAGGGACCCAAAAGUUAGAGUAAUUGUUUCUAUCUGUGGUUUAAGAGGGGAUAGGUUGAGUUGGUCAGUACUCUAUCAGGUUAACCCUAAGUUCACCAACCAAGUCAAGAGAUGUGGCUUUCAAUGUGGUGACAAACCCCGGCCUUCACAUGGUGAGCCCUGCUGAAUGGUCAGCCUCUGUCAUUCUUGACCUCACCAUCUCCAUGAUAUAUAACAGCAACAUAGUCUUAUAGCAAUUAAUAAAUUCCUACAAAGAGCUUCCAGGAAUAGGCACAAAUUUCAGAGAUCCAAUAGAGGAAGUCAAAAAGCCAGCACUGGGCAGUCACAGAGAUUUAGAUGGUGGCUACCCUCUUAGAGGUAGAAAAGAGUUUGCUGCAUGACCUCAAAAUGAAAACAGGUAUUGGCAGUGGCUUCAGGUGCCCUUCAAUCAUUUCUGUACUCUGUGGACUUCC